Molecule: ribosomal RNA, 292 nt
Filed under: uncultured Lawsonella sp.
Lineage: Bacteria; Bacillati; Actinomycetota; Actinomycetes; Mycobacteriales; Lawsonellaceae
Description: partial 16S ribosomal RNA
Rfam family: Bacterial small subunit ribosomal RNA
Source: RNAcentral
GUGCCAGCAGCCGCGGUAAUACGUAGGGUGCGAGCGUUGUCCGGAAUUACUGGGCGUAAAGAGCUCGUAGGCGGUUUGUCACGUCGUCUGUGAAAUCCUAGGGCUUAACCCUGGACGUGCAGGCGAUACGGGCUGACUUGAGUACUACAGGGGAGACUGGAAUUUCUGGUGUAGCGGUGGAAUGCACAGAUAUCAGGAAGAACACCGAUGGCGAAGGCAGGUCUCUGGGUAGUAACUGACGCUGAGGAGCGAAAGCAUGGGUAGCGAACAGGAUUAGAUACCCUUGUAGUCC